CGGAACACACUCAUGCAAAUACGACGGACAGGUAGAGAGAUGCAUAGAUAGACAGACAGACAGAUAGAUAGACAGGUAAAGAGACAGACAGAUAGACAGAUAAGGAACCAAAUAGACAGACAGGUAAAGAGAUCGAUAGACGGGUAAAGAGACAAAUAGACAGGUAAAUAAAUAGAGACAGGUAAACAAACAGAUUGACAGACAGAAAAAGAAGACAAAUAGUUAGACAGAUAGACAGUAUAUCACUCAGGCUGGUAUGUUGCGUUUAAGACAGACAAAGACAGACAGAAAAAAAGACCUAGACAGUUAAAUAGACAGUCUUAGGUGGACAGGUAACAAACAGAGAGAGACACCAAGAAAAGACAGACAGAAAAAAAGACCCAGACAGUUAAAUAGACAGUGUUAGGUGGACAGGAUAACAAACAGAGAGGAACACCAAGAAAAGACAGACAGAAAAAAAGACCCAGACAGUUAAAUAGACAGUCUUAGGUGGACAGGAUAAGAGGGACAAAAAAACAAA
Eriocheir sinensis (Chinese mitten crab) is the source of this 520-nucleotide long non-coding RNA. RefSeq lists it as uncharacterized. The transcript has 2 exons. The record is from RefSeq and is a predicted model, not a curated record. Lineage: Eukaryota; Metazoa; Arthropoda; Malacostraca; Decapoda; Varunidae.